This 1240-nucleotide ribosomal RNA is filed under the name Salmonella enterica subsp. enterica serovar Infantis. RNAcentral's name for it is "partial 23S ribosomal RNA". It matches the Rfam family "Bacterial large subunit ribosomal RNA", at positions 1 to 1269 of the family's 2925-position model. Lineage: Bacteria; Pseudomonadati; Pseudomonadota; Gammaproteobacteria; Enterobacterales; Enterobacteriaceae. The record is from RNAcentral.
GGGUUGUGAGGUUAAGCGACUAAGCGUACACGGUGGAUGCCCUGGCAGUCAGAGGCGAUGAAGGACGUGCUAAUCUGCGAUAAGCGCCGGUAAGGUGAUAUGAACCGUUAUAACCGGCGAUUUCCGAAUGGGGAAACCCAGUGUGACUCGUCACACUAUCAUUAACUGAAUCCAUAGGUUAAUGAGGCGAACCGGGGGAACUGAAACAUCUAAGUACCCCGAGGAAAAGAAAUCAACCGAGAUUCCCCCAGUAGCGGCGAGCGAACGGGGAGGAGCCCAGAGCCUGAAUCAGCAUGUGUGUUAGUGGAAGCGUCUGGAAAGGCGCGCGAUACAGGGUGACAGCCCCGUACACAAAAGCGCAUGUGCUGUGAGCUCGAUGAGUAGGGCGGGACACGUGGUAUCCUGUCUGAAUAUGGGGGGACCAUCCUCCAAGGCUAAAUACUCCUGACUGACCGAUAGUGAACCAGUACCGUGAGGGAAAGGCGAAAAGAACCCCGGCGAGGGGAGUGAAAAAGAACCUGAAACCGUGUACGUACAAGCAGUGGGAGCACAGGUUUACCUGUGUGACUGCGUACCUUUUGUAUAAUGGGUCAGCGACUUAUAUUCUGUAGCAAGGUUAACCGAAUAGGGGAGCCGGAGGGAAACCGAGUCUUAAUUGGGCGUUAAGUUGCAGGGUAUAGACCCGAAACCCGGUGAUCUAGCCAUGGGCAGGUUGAAGGUUGGGUAACACUAACUGGAGGACCGAACCGACUAAUGUUGAAAAAUUAGCGGAUGACCUGUGGCUGGGGGUGAAAGGCCAAUCAAACCGGGAGAUAGCUGGUUCUCCCCGAAAGCUAUUUAGGUAGCGCCUCGUGAAUUCAUCUCCGGGGGUAGAGCACUGUUUCGGCUAGGGGGCCAUCCCGGCUUACCAACCCGAUGCAAACUGCGAAUACCGGAGAAUGUUAUCACGGGAGACACACGGCGGGUGCUAACGUCCGUCGUGAAGAGGGAAACAACCCAGACCGCCAGCUAAGGUCCCAAAGUCAUGGUUAAGUGGGAAACGAUGUGGGAAGGCCCAGACAGCCAGGAUGUUGGCUUAGAAGCAGCCAUCAUUUAAAGAAAGCGUAAUAGCUCACUGGUCGAGUCGGCCUGCGCGGAAGAUGUAACGGGGCUAAACCAUGCACCGAAGCUGCGGCAGCGACACUCAGGUGUUGUUGGGUAGGGGAGCGUUCUGUAAGCCUGCGAAGGUGGCCUGUGAGGG